Molecule: transfer RNA, 72 nt
Filed under: Ictidomys tridecemlineatus (thirteen-lined ground squirrel)
Lineage: Eukaryota; Metazoa; Chordata; Mammalia; Rodentia; Sciuridae
Description: Spermophilus tridecemlineatus (thirteen-lined ground squirrel) tRNA
Rfam family: tRNA
About the family: Transfer RNA (tRNA) molecules are approximately 80 nucleotides in length. Their secondary structure includes four short double-helical elements and three loops (D, anti-codon, and T loops). Further hydrogen bonds mediate the characteristic L-shaped molecular structure. tRNAs have two regions of fundamental functional importance: the anti-codon, which is responsible for specific mRNA codon recognition, and the 3' end, to which the tRNAs corresponding amino acid is attached (by aminoacyl-tRNA synthetases). tRNAs cope with the degeneracy of the genetic code in two manners: having more than one tRNA (with a specific anti-codon) for a particular amino acid; and 'wobble' base-pairing, i.e. permitting non-standard base-pairing at the 3rd anti-codon position.
Source: Rfam by way of RNAcentral
GGGGAUGUGGCUCUGUGGUAGAGUGCUUGCCUAGCAUCCUGAAGACCUUGGGUUCAAUUCCCAGCAACACUU